This 670-nucleotide small RNA is filed under the name Pan troglodytes (chimpanzee). RNAcentral describes it as "retained intron". Lineage: Eukaryota; Metazoa; Chordata; Mammalia; Primates; Hominidae. The record is from RNAcentral.
GUUCGUGGAUGAUGAUGAUGAUGAUGAUGAAAAAAAUGCAGCAUCAACGGCAGCAGCAAGCGGACCACGCGAACGAGGCAAACUAUGCAAGAGGCACCAGACUUCCUCUUUCUGGUGAAGGACCAACUUCUCAGCCGAAUAGCUCCAAGCAAACUGUCCUGUCUUGGCAAGCUGCAAUCGAUGCUGCUAGACAGGCCAAGGCUGCCCAAACUAUGAGCACCUCUGCACCCCCACCUGUAGGAUCUCUCUCCCAAAGAAAACGUCAGCAAUACGCCAAGAGCAAAAAACAGGGUAACUCGUCCAACAGCCGACCUGCCCGCGCCCUUUUCUGUUUAUCACUCAAUAACCCCAUCCGAAGAGCCUGCAUUAGUAUAGUGGAAUGGAAACCAUUUGACAUAUUUAUAUUAUUGGCUAUUUUUGCCAAUUGUGUGGCCUUAGCUAUUUACAUCCCAUUCCCUGAAGAUGAUUCUAAUUCAACAAAUCAUAACUUGGAAAAAGUAGAAUAUGCCUUCCUGAUUAUUUUUACAGUCGAGACAUUUUUGAAGAUUAUAGCGUAUGGAUUAUUGCUACAUCCUAAUGCUUAUGUUAGGAAUGGAUGGAAUUUACUGGAUUUUGUUAUAGUAAUAGUAGGGUAAGUCUCUUUUACUUUGGGGAAAUGUUGAUUUGGAAA